AGCGACUGUGCAGGUUACCGCGGCUGCUGGCACGGAGUUAGCCGGUGCUUCUUCUGUGAGUGAUGUCCUUCCUGCCGGCUAUUAACCCGCAGGCCUUCUUCCUCACUGAAAGUGCUUUACAACCCGAAGGCCUUCUUCACACACGCGGCAUGGCUGGAUCAGGGUUGCCCCCAUUGUCCAAUAUUCCCCACUGCUGCCUCCCGUAGGAGUCUGGGCCGUGUCUCAGUCCCAGUGUGGCUGAUCAUCCUCUCAGACCAGCUACGGAUCGUCGCCUUGGUGAGCCGUUACCUCACCAACCAGCUAAUCCGACAUAGGCUCAUCCGAUAGCGCGAGGCCCGAAGGUCCCCCGCUUUCCCCCGGUAGGGCGUAUGCGGUAUUAGCCUGGGUUUCCCCAGGUUAUCCCCCACUACCGGGCAGAUUCCUAUGCAUUACUCACCCGUCCGCCGCUCGCCACCAGGGAGCAGCUCCCCGUGCUGCCGCUCGACUUGCAUGUGUUAGGCCUGCCGCCAGCGUUCAAU
This 518-nucleotide ribosomal RNA is filed under the name uncultured bacterium. Its description in RNAcentral is "partial 16S ribosomal RNA". The record is from RNAcentral.